CCCAAGCGGAUAAGACUUCCAGGUCACCAUUCAUGCAGAAAGAAACUCUGCUCUGGGCACAUUACACUCUUUCAUCUUCUUCUCUUGUUUUGUUUAAAUCAAUGUCCACACACACUCAACACUUGCAUUUACAGACUGUGCCAAAGCUUUCUCUGUCACACACACUUUUUUUUUAUGGGGAAGUCCUGCGUCCCUGCUUUACAGGUUCCUGCUCCUCCUCCACCUUCUUCUCCCCUUCAAAAACUCUUGGAGUAAGGUUCAACAUACAGACUGGAAUAGUUAUAGAGAAAAAGGAAGAAGAAAAGAUGCAGAUGCAGAUUAUAUGGAGGAACAUAUGAAGCAUCAGUCUGGAUCUUGAAAGUCAGUUGGUUCAGGACUGGUGGACUGAACGUUACCUGUUGCAUUGGUUGAACCUGAAACCAGCAGUCUGAUCUGCAUAUGUGGCCCAACGGAGGAUGUAAAUAUGAGGGUCAGUGGCUCAUAUAAAAUGGUAUUGCAUGUUACAGAAUCACAGUGCAGGAGGGAUAGAGAUGUAGAUACAGAAAAGCAAAGGGAAAGAAAUCAAACAGGACAAGACAUGAUAGUGAGAUACUAAAAGUGAGAGACGGAAAGAGAAACUAGAUAGCAUCUGUCAGUGAACCUAAAUGUGAUGUGAGUUGUGAAACUAAAGAGUUUGCUCCCAGUCACCAACUGAUACUAACCAAAUAAAACCUCUAACUUUUACA
This is a long non-coding RNA of Thunnus maccoyii (southern bluefin tuna), 725 nucleotides long. RefSeq lists it as uncharacterized. The record is from RefSeq and is a predicted model, not a curated record. NCBI's taxonomy places the organism in Eukaryota, Metazoa, Chordata, Actinopteri, Scombriformes, Scombridae. The transcript is spliced from 3 exons.